RNAcentral lists this ribosomal RNA (253 nucleotides) under uncultured bacterium. Its description in RNAcentral is "partial 16S ribosomal RNA". It matches the Rfam family "Bacterial small subunit ribosomal RNA", at positions 524 to 776 of the family's 1533-position model. The record is from RNAcentral.
UACGUAGGGGGCAAGCGUUGUCCGGAUUCAUUGGGCGUAAAGAGCGUGUAGGCGGCCAGGUAGGUCGGUUGUGAAAACUGGAGGCUCAACCUUCAGAGGUCGACCGAAACCAUCUGGCUAGAGUCCGGGAGAGGAGAGUGGAGUUCCUGGUGUAGCGGUGAAAUGCGCAGAUAUCAGGAAGAACACCCGUGGCGAAAGCGGCUCUCUGGAACGGUACUGACGCUGAGACGCGAAAGCGUGGGGAGCGAACAGG